GUGAAUCAUCGAAUUUUUGAACGCAAAUUGCACUUUUUGGUAUUCCGGAAAGUAUGCCUGUUUGAGGGUCAGUACAAUAAAAAUCGGUGAUGUUGCUGCUUUUUGAGGUGAGGCGCUGGCUUUGAGUUGUCUUACUUUAGGUUAUGUGAUUUAAAAUUUUGCAUGUUUUUCGAUUGAAUUUAAAUUUCUUACGCACGUUUGAGAUUU
RNAcentral lists this unclassified non-coding RNA (207 nucleotides) under Glomeraceae sp. RNAcentral describes it as "partial contains 5.8S ribosomal RNA and internal transcribed spacer 2". The stretch from base 1 to 71 matches the Rfam family "5.8S ribosomal RNA", at positions 84 to 154 of the family's 154-position model. The record is from RNAcentral. Lineage: Eukaryota; Fungi; Glomeromycota; Glomeromycetes; Glomerales; Glomeraceae.